UGAACCUGCGGAAGGAUCAUUAUUGAACUGUGUUUUUCAAAAACACUUACUCGAUGGGUUGUCGCUGGCUCCUCUGGAGCAUGUGCACGCCUGUCUUGACUUCAUUCAUCCACCUGUGCACCACUUGUAGUCUUUGAGGGGUCUGAGAGAGUGGCUGACUUGUCGGGAAUUCUCCCGGAUGUGAGGACUGCAGUGUGAAAGCACGGCUCUCUUCUACCUGGCCAUGAACCCUGCCCCUCGAGGUCUAUGUAUUUAUUCAUACACUAUGUAGCAUGUUACAGAAUGUCUCAAUGGGCCUUUGUGCCUAUAAAAUCAUAUACAACUUUCAGCAACGGAUCUCUUGGCUCUCGCAUCGAUGAAGAACGCAGCGAAAUGCGAUAAGUAAUGUGAAUUGCAGAAUUCAGUGAAUCAUCGAAUCUUUGAACGCACCUUGCGCUCCUUGGUAUUCCGAGGAGCAUGCCUGUUUGAGUGUCAUUAAAUUCUCAACUCCUCCAGCUUUUGUUAAGUUGGCUUUGGAGCUUGGAUUGUGGAGGUUUGCUGGCCCUUCUAUUGACUGGGUUCAGCUCCUCUGAAAUACAUUAGCGGAACCGUUUGCAAUCCGCCACAGGUGUGAUAAUUAUCUACGCCAGUGGGUUGCUCUCUGUGUUCGGCUGCCAAUCGUCUCUGCUUCAAGAGACAAUUUUCUGAAUGCUUGACCUCAAAUCAGGUAGGACUACCCGCUGAACUUAAGCAUAUCAAU
Molecule: ribosomal RNA, 739 nt
Filed under: Chlorophyllum molybdites
Lineage: Eukaryota; Fungi; Basidiomycota; Agaricomycetes; Agaricales; Agaricaceae
Description: eukaryotic LSU rRNA
Rfam family: 5.8S ribosomal RNA (bases 321-474)
Source: RNAcentral